RNAcentral lists this ribosomal RNA (439 nucleotides) under uncultured bacterium. RNAcentral's name for it is "partial 16S ribosomal RNA". It matches the Rfam family "Bacterial small subunit ribosomal RNA", at positions 338 to 795 of the family's 1533-position model. The record is from RNAcentral.
CCUACGGGUGGCUGCAGUGGGGAAUAUUGGACAAUAGGGGGAACCCUGAUCCAGCGACGCCGCGUGAGUGAAGAAGUAUUUCGGUUUGUAAAGCUCUAUCAGCAGGGAAGAACAUGACGGUACCUGACUAAGAAGCGCCGGCUAACUACGUGCCAGCAGCCGCGGGAAUACGUAGGGGGCAAGCGUUAUCCGGAUUUACUGGGUGUAAAGGGGGCGUAGACGGUGGAGAAAGUCUGAUGUGAAAGGUCGGGGCCCAACCCCGGGACUGCAUUGGAAACGGUUGAACUGGUGUACAGGAGAGGUAAGCGGAAUUCCAGGUGUAGCGGUGAAAGGCGUAGAUAUUAGGAGGAACACCAGUGGCGAUGGCGGCUUACUGGACUGUAACUGCCGUUGAGGCUCGAAAGCGUGGGAGCAAACAGGAUUAGAUACCCUUGUAGUC